GAUGAACGCUGGCGGCGUGCCUAAUACAUGCAAGUCGAGCGAACAGACGAGGAGCUUGCUCCUCUGACGUUAGCGGCGGACGGGUGAGUAACACGUGGAUAACCUACCUAUAAGACUGGGAUAACUUCGGGAAACCGGAGCUAAUACCGGAUAAUAUAUUGAACCGCAUGGUUCAAUAGUGAAAGACGGUUUUGCUGUCACUUAUAGGUGGAUCCGCGCCGCAUUAGCUAGUUGGUAAGGUAACGGCUUACCAAGGCAACGAUGCGUAGCCGACCUGAGAGAGUGAGCGGCCACACUGGAGCUGAGACACGCUCCAGACUCCUACGGGAGGCAGCAGUAGGGAAUCUUCCGCAAUAGGCGAGAGCCUGACGGAGCAACGCCGCGUGAGUGAUGAAGGUCUUCGGAUCGUAAAACUCUGUUAUUAGGGAAGAACAAAUGUGUAAGUAACUAUGCACGUAUUGACGGUACCUAAUCAGAAAGCCACGGCUAACUACGUG
Molecule: ribosomal RNA, 497 nt
Filed under: uncultured bacterium
Lineage: Bacteria
Description: partial 16S ribosomal RNA
Rfam family: Bacterial small subunit ribosomal RNA
Source: RNAcentral